UGCAGUCGAGCGGUAACAGAUCCAGCUUGCUGGAUGCUGACGAGCGGCGGACGGGUGAGUAAUGCAUAGGAAUCUGCCCGAUAGUGGGGGAUAACCUGGGGAAACCCAGGCUAAUACCGCAUACGUCCUACGGGAGAAAGGGGGCUCCGGCUCCCGCUAUGGGAUGAGCCUAUGUCGGAUUAGCUAGUUGGUGAGGUAACGGCUCACCAAGGCCACGAUCCGUAGCUGGUCUGAGAGGAUGAUCAGCCACAUCGGGACUGAGACACGGCCCGAACUCCUACGGGAGGCAGCAGUGGGGAAUAUUGGACAAUGGGGGAAACCCUGAUCCAGCCAUGCCGCGUGUGUGAAGAAGGCCCUCGGGUUGUAAAGCACUUUCAGCGAGGAAGAACGCCUAGCGGUUAAUACCCGCUAGGAAAGACAUCACUCGCAGAAGAAGCACCGGCUAACUCCGUGCCAGCAGCCGCGGUAAUACGGAGGGUGCAAGCGUUAAUCGGAAUUACUGGGCGUAAAGCGCGCGUAGGUGGCUUGAUAAGCCGGUUGUGAAAGCCCCGGGCUCAACCUGGGAACGGCAUCCGGAACUGUCAAGCUAGAGUGCAGGAGAGGAAGGUAGAAUUCCCGGUGUAGCGGUGAAAUGCGUAGAGAUCGGGAGGAAUACCAGUGGCGAAGGCGGCCUUCUGGACUGACACUGACACUGAGGUGCGAAAGCGUGGGUAGCAAACAGGAUUAGAUACCCUGGUAGUCCACGCCGUAAACGAUGUCGACCAGCCGUUGGGUGCCUAGCGCACUUUGUGGCGAAGUUAACGCGAUAAGUCGACCGCCUGGGGAGUACGGCCGCAAGGUUAAAACUCAAAUGAAUUGACGGGGGCCCGCACAAGCGGUGGAGCAUGUGGUUUAAUUCGAUGCAACGCGAAGAACCUUACCUACUCUUGACAUCCUGCGAAUUGGGUAGAGAUACCUUAGUGCCUUCGGAACGCAGAGACAGGUGCUGCAUGGUUGUCGU
Molecule: ribosomal RNA, 1000 nt
Filed under: Vreelandella aquamarina
Lineage: Bacteria; Pseudomonadati; Pseudomonadota; Gammaproteobacteria; Oceanospirillales; Halomonadaceae
Description: bacterial SSU rRNA
Rfam family: Bacterial small subunit ribosomal RNA
Source: RNAcentral